This is a small nucleolar RNA of Dipodomys ordii (Ord's kangaroo rat), 65 nucleotides long. Its record names the gene SNORD58. It matches the Rfam family "Small nucleolar RNA SNORD58". Rfam says of the family: snoRNA U58 is found in introns 1, 3 and 6 of the ribosomal protein RPL17 gene in humans. U58 is a member of the C/D class of snoRNA which contain C (UGAUGA) and D (CUGA) box motifs. Most of the members of the box C/D family function in directing site-specific 2'-O-methylation of substrate RNAs. NCBI's taxonomy places the organism in Eukaryota, Metazoa, Chordata, Mammalia, Rodentia, Heteromyidae. The record is from Ensembl.
CUGCAAUGAUGGCAUUUCUUAGCACACCUUUGGAUUCAUCAUGAAAACAAUUAUUUCUGAGCAGC